CAAUAGCGUAUAUUUAAGUUGCUGCAGUUAAAAAGCUCGUAGUUGGAUUUCGGGUGGGAAUGGCCGGUCCGCCGUUUCGGUGUGCACUUGCUACGCCCACCUUGCUGCCGGGGACGUGCUCUUGAGUUCACGCUCGGGACACGGAGUCGGCGAGGUUACUUUGAGUAAAUUAGAGUGUUCAAAGCAGGCCUACGCUCUGAAUACAUUAGCAUGGAAUAACACGAUAGGACUCUGGCCUAUCUUGUUGGUCUGUAGGACCGGAGUAAUGAUUAAGAGGGACAGUCGGGGGCAUUCGUAUUUCAUUGUCAGAGGUGAAAUUCUUGGAUUUAUGAAAGACGAACUACUGCGAAAGCAUUUGCCAAGUAUGUUUUCAUUAA
RNAcentral lists this ribosomal RNA (377 nucleotides) under uncultured eukaryote. RNAcentral describes it as "partial 18S ribosomal RNA". It matches the Rfam family "Eukaryotic small subunit ribosomal RNA", at positions 592 to 976 of the family's 1831-position model. The record is from RNAcentral.